GCUGUUAUUCAGACAGCAAUGAAAAUUGGAACAAUACAGAAAAGAUUAGCAUGGCCCCUGUACAAGGAGGACAUGCUCCAUAUUUUUAAAGUAAAAUAUAAAAUU
Molecule: small nuclear RNA, 105 nt
Organism: Macaca fascicularis (crab-eating macaque)
Lineage: Eukaryota; Metazoa; Chordata; Mammalia; Primates; Cercopithecidae
Source: Ensembl